UGUCGCCACCGCUCACUGACGCCACCACCGUUCGAUCACAUCAUCACCGUCGAUCAAACACCAUUUCAUUACACAAUUUCAUCAAUACGAUCGUGACCGUUCGUUCUCAUUCUUUCCAAUAAGUUCUCCGUUUCUAGGUUUGUGCUGAUAUACCGUGAAUGCCCAAGAGGGUAUUUUAACACAACAUGGGUUUUGACAAUGAGUGCAUUUUAAACAUUCAAUCUCUUGCCGGCGAGUACUUUUGUCCCGUAUGUCGAACACUUGUCUAUCCACAUGAAGCAGUCCAGACACAAUGCACUCACUUAUACUGCAAACCUUGUUUGUCAUAUGUUGUAAGUAGCACCCAGGCCUGCCCUUAUGAUGGAUACUUGGUAACUGAAGCUGGUUCAAAGCCACUAAUGGAAUGCAACAAGGCUCUAGCAGAAACAAUUGGGAAAACUACUGUCCAUUGCCUUUAUCAUAGGAGUGGCUGUGUAUGGCAAGGUCCUUUAUCUGAUUGCACAACACACUGUUCUGGAUGUGCCUUUGGUAAUUCUCCAGUUGUAUGCAACCGGUGUGGAAUUCAUAUUGUCCAUCGUCAAGUGCAAGAGCAUGCGCAGACCUGUAAUGCCAAUGGUACAAAUACUCAGUCACAACCAGGGGGUGAGACUACACAGGUUGCUGCAUCAUCUGGAGUAACUGUGCCCACAGACCAUAGCAAGAUUGCUAAUCAAGCAACAGCACCAGCCUCCCAGCCUCAGGCGUCUCAUACUGCUACUGGACCAUCUGCUGUUCAAAAUGUGAAUCAGCCAGCAACUGUAAAUCCUCCACCCCAAGCCAUGCCUGCAAAUGCUGUGCCAACUCCUGACCAGCAAUACUACCAACAAUAUCAGCAAUAUUACCAACAGUAUCCUGGCUAUGACCCAUAUCAGCAAGGCUAUCAACAGUACUACAUGUAUCAACAGCCACCAGCUCAGCAAUUCCAGCCUCAGCCACAACUUCAGCAGCAACUCCAAGCCCCUGGACAACUUCAACCUCAGGUCCAGCCCCAAAUGCAACCACAGACACAAACUCAAGCUCAAUCACAAAUUUCAGCUAACGGACAGCCUCAAUCUCUUUAUUCUCAGUCAGCUGUCGUUGGAUCAAGUCAAAAUCAGGCUCAAGUGAAUCCUCCACACGCUAACCCAGGUGGUCCGCCCCUUCCGCAAGGUCACAUGCCACCGCCGUCAUACUCACAAGCACAGCCAUAUCCUGCUCAAAAUCAUGCCCAACCACAUAUGCAAGCACCUCAAUUUCAGCAACCUCAUCCACAGAUAAAUCAUUCUCAACCUUCUCAAGUUCAACCACCACCUUAUCCACAAGCGCAACCACAAUUUCAACCACAUCUCCAGCCUCAACCACAAUUGCAACCUCUUAAUCCCCAGCAUCCUCCGGUUCAAUCUGUAGGUCAUCUCCCUUAUUCCCAGCAGGCACCUCAACAACAGCAUCCUAUGCAAGUGCAAUCAUCUGGGUCGUUACUCCCAGGUCAGAUGCAAGCUCAGUUUCCACCACCACCCCCUCAUAUGCGUCCUCUUCAACCUCCUCAUAUGUUGCCACCUCAGCAGCGUCCUAUUAUGCAGCAGGUUCAGCAACCAAUGUCUCAACAAUAUAUGCAGCAGCCUCAAACAUUUACAGGACAAGCACCCGGUCAACUUCAAGGUCAGCCACACCAUGCUGGUUCUUUUGCACAGCAGAUCUCUCAAGUAAAUCCACCUGGUCCACCUCAGCCAAUGCAACAACUUCCUCUUGGCUAUGUUCAACCGCAGCAAGGGACUGCAUUGCCGCCUCAUUCGUCUCAAAGCUACAUUGGGCAACCUGGUAUGUUGAAUCAGGGAGGUCAGUCACUGCAAUUCCCCCAAUCUUCUGUUGUAGCCGGUAUUCCACCUCAUGUUAGACCACCACAUAAUGUAAGCAUGACGAAUCAGCCACCCGUAUAUUUAGAGCAGCAACAUAACCAAUAUGCACCGCCCGCAAGAAGAGCGGAAGACAGGUCACCUUCCUUGAAGAAACAUGAGCCAGUGGCUAAUGAUUCUGGAGCUAAUGUUAAGGAUGUAAAAUCUGAAGCUGUUAUUAAUGAUGAACGCAAGUCUGGAAAUGGAGGUGAUAUUGACCAGAGAAAAGAUGAGAGCAGAGAUGGUGAUUCCAUGCUUUUACAAAGAGUGAAAGAAGAGAGCAAAGAGCGUACAAUAGAUCAUUCUCCUGGUGGCAAGUCUAGUCAAAAUAAAACCGAGGAUGGGGGAGCUUCCACCACCGACUCUGAGGUUAAGAAUGGAAAUGCUCAACAAGGCCAAAUUGGUGAUGUGUCUGGUGGAUUUCCAAGCAAGGGCACUGAACAUGGAAGAUCUCCACAUCCUCACAUGCCUCAUGGGCAUUCUGGGCAGCAACAAAGACCUGCUGCACCUGCAAGUCAUUUACGGCCUCUGGGGCCUGGUUAUUUUCCCCAUCCAGGUGAGCAUUUCCAUCCACCUGGUCCAAGCCAACAUGGUCCUUUCCCGUCCGAGGGCCCUUUCAGUGGACCACCUGGUCCUGGAUCUACUAUUUAUGGUAAUGACAGCAGGAGUUAUGAUCUAAGGCCACCACUCGGUAAUGUACCCCAUCCACAUGGGCCUGAUCCACGUCUUCUUGGUCCGAUGGAAUCUGAUAUGUACCAAAACCAGAGGCCCCCUCAUUAUGAUAGUAGACGUCCAGAUUCAUACUUAUCUGGAAAUGUUGACAGAGGACCUUAUGGGCAGCCUUUUGGUGUUGAAUCAAAUUCUACGAGGAUGAACGGUGGACCACCACUAAGUCAUGACUCGUCAUUAGCACCUGGUUUUCGUGAUCACAACUUUAAAAAUCCUGAUGCUUUUCCUAUGGGACCGACUCGUUACCAUGAUCAAGGCGAGCUUAAGGGAACUCUGAAACAGUUCCCUGGCCCCCCUCAUUUAGGCAGUGAGGGUUCCCCGAAAUUUGGGAAUCACUCAUCAAGGCCAAUAGGCGUGGACGGACCAUCAAGGUUUCUUGAUAAAGACCCCCAUGGAUACGACUAUCAUUCUGCUGAUGGUUUGCAUCCUGGUGAUUCUGGUGGAAGACCACUUCCUGUAAGUAUACAUGAUGAUAACAGAGGGAGGUUCGAUAAUAACCGCCACAACCCUGAUUUUUUUGGACCAAUGCAUGGUUUUGGUCGGCAUAACAGGGACCGUUUACCACCUGGUAGUCCAGGAAAUCCAUCACGUCCAUUUAGGGGACCACACAAUGUCGAUUUCGAUGGCAGGGAGAUGGAAAGACACCCAUUUGGUAAUAGAUUCCCAAUGGGGCCUCCUGGUCACAUGCAUAGAGGGGAGUUUGAUGGCCCGCCACAGCCAAGAAGUGGUGAACCUUUUGGCCCGAGAGGUCGCGGUGAGCCUGGUAUUGGCUUCUUUCAAGAAUAUGGUCGACCUGGGGAAUCAAAUGGGCCUGGAGGCUUCUCUCAUCAACCACCUUUUGGAGAAUUAUACGGCAUCAAGUCAACUGGCCCACAUUUGGGCGAACCAGGUUUUAGAAGUAGCUAUUCCCGUCAGGGGUUCCCAAGUGAUGGUGGAUUUUUUGCAGGUGGGCCUGAUUCAUUUGACCCUUUAAGGAAGAGAAAAACUUCAAGUAUGGGUUGGUGUCGCAUUUGCAAAGUUGAUUGUGAAAGUGUGGAAGGUCUGGAUAUGCAUGGUCAAACACGCGAACACCAGAGGAUGUCUAUGGAUAUGGUCAUUAGCAUCAAGCAGAAGAAUGCUAAGAAACAAAAAGCAUUUAAUGACCAUUCUCCACAUGAGGAGGCAAGCAAGUUCAGAAAACCAGAGAGUAACGCCCGAGCUAAUAUGUCUUAGGUGCUGAAGGUUGAGUUGAGGACGGAUCAAAGCAGUAUCGUCUUUGGUAAUUUUACAUGUAGCAAUUGAUUAACAGCUGGAUCAGAAGCAUCGGAUCCAUCAUCGUUCACUUGGGGGAAUCUGAAACUACAUAUAAGUUUAGUGUGAUUUUGUCUGAUUUGCACUUUUUGAUCCUGAAGCUACAUAUAAAUUUAGUGUGGAAUUUGUCUGAUUUGCAUUUUUUGACAUCAAAUAUAGAUUAACAUCCGCAUAGUAUCUGGAACUUUGACCUCCUAUGCGCAUACAGCAUACUAGUAUACUACUCUUUGGAUAAGCCUAUGCAGGUCAUGAAUGCUGCAUGUCGUUUGUAUAUUUAUUGAAUUUUGUGUGGUUAUACAAUUUUACAGACCAGAUAGCUUAACAAUGAUUUUGCUCAAAUUUUGUCUGUAUAUUGCUGUUAGCUUCUGAUACCUAGAAUGCAAUUUCUUUGUCACAAAAUAAUCUGAUCUAGGUGUCCCACAUGCAAUGACAAAAAGAAACAACCAUAGGCUUUUGAAGAGUCAACCCCCUACAUAUAGGCUCUGGUAUUGAUCUUUAGCAACACACAAAAUGUUUAAAAUUUUCUAUAUAUAACUCCCGAUCAUUCAUAGUGAAUUGUAUUGUAAUUGUGCUUAUCUAUGUAAAAUAUCAAAUUGGGGUCUCAAAACGUUUUAGUGUCUGCUUUUGUUUCCCUCCUUCGAGUGGAAACCAUUUUACUCUUCGUAUUGGAUCUGGUUCAUUUUUUAUACAAAACAGACAAUCAAAAAGCUGAUAUUUUCCUGGGGAGAGAUUUACUUGCAAAUUUUGUUAGUAAGGAUUUAUUCAGUGCAGUGUGAACACCGUCUCUUGAACUUUGGUAGCUUUUGAUGUCUUUCUAGAAGUUCCUUACUAUCUCACCUUGUUGAAUGCUAUCAUUUCUUUGGUUGCCAACAUAUUUCGUAUUCUUAACUGCCUUUCAUGUAUCUCCCUUUUUGUAUUGGCUUGCGUAGCUCGGUUAAACACUGUUCUUGCCAGGUGAGAAUUCUGAUUAAGGAGUCGAGACUUCUAUGAAGGCAUGUGGUGCUAAUGAGCAGUGACCAAUUAGUUAACAAAUAUAAUUGGAAUGACGAGGCAGUACAAUGUCUUGGUGUGUGUGUCUGUGUGAGUAUUUACGUAUAUAUACAUCUUUAUGUGUGGUCAUCGGGACUGGAUAAGGUCUUAGUUAGUUUUAGCGCCAUAUAAGGAAGAAAUCAAAGCUUUAUGCACAACAAGAUGGUAACAAUAGCUAUAUACAAUCUUAGAACUGUGAAUCUUAUAUUCAAGACCUUAAAGCAAAUUUAUGGUUCUUCCAAAAAAAGUCAACUUAAAGUCUUUAAUAUCUAUAUAUUUUCAUUGAUCCCAAUGGUGAUCCAAUAUGCUAAUGCAGACAAUAGUGCAUUUAGAUAAUGUCUACCAACUGUAUAUUAUGCUGUGAUGUUUCUGCUUAGAGAAGAUUACGAACUGAUUGCAAUAGAAGUGUCUAGAAAGAAACAUCACGGGGUAUUUUCACGAUUGUAGAAGUAAACUUGCACAAGAUUGUCAUCGAGUGCAAGUUAACUUUAAGUUUGAUUGUUCAUUAAUGAUUUGUAACUAAAGACACUAGAGAAUAGCUGUUAGGAAAACCUUGAGGCCUUAGCGGUUGAACUGUCGAAUAAAUAAUGAAUUUGGUUGGAUAACUUAGCAAGAUGUUUAUUAGUGAAACAUGAAUAACUUAUUUUUAAACGAAUGCAAUACAAACUACUAGAUACACCAUUAGAUAUAUCUUCAAAUGUAGAAACAAGGUUAGCAAUGCAAAUGUGACAAUUAAAAGUUUUCUUUUGAGUUAUUUUUUUGGCAUCCUUUAUUUACUAGCUUCUUACUAAAGGCAGACAAUAAGGAAUCUUAUUCUUGAACAACCAAGACAUGAAAGGCGAAGUAUUGACACAUAGUUGCUUUUUAGUUUUGUUUUAUAUUAUCUUUUACUUUUUAGAACCAAAUGCAUUGUAUAAUUUUUCUUUAUUUUUUUUUCCUAAUAUUUUUGUCAUGCUACUCUCUAAUACGUCCAUAUUUCUACUAGGCAUAGACACCAUUGGCUUAUUAUAUACUGGGACAGUUAGGUUAUUAGACAAUGAAAUGUACAGAGGAAUAGUGCAAUUCGGACACUAGUUUAGCUUUGAGAAAAUGAAUGGAUAGUUCACAAAAGAUGCCAACGUCUCUAAAUAACUGGAAGAACUUAUUUAAAAUUCAUCACUUAAUACUUUGGUGACCGGCAUUUAGCACUAAAUAUAUUGAUAUUUACUAUAUGUAUCUGGUGUCGAUUACAGAAGCCUGUAGCUUGAAGAUAUUGGGAAGAUGCACCACUAAGGCAAAUUGUAGAAAAUGUUUCUUCCAUUAGCGACAUAUUAUAUAGUUGAUCUAGGCUGUAACCUAAUUUUUAAGCUGGUCCUCCCACCUAGUGUCAUUUUUUUAAUCUAUAGAAGGAACAUACAGAUAGUUCUUGGUUUCUUGAUUCUUAAUUAACAUAUUUAUUCUCGGACGUUCUAUUAACUUGUACAUUGCUUUCACAUUGCUGAAUCGUUGAAUUUGGAGAACAAUGCUGCGUUGUAUCUUAUUAAAUCAUUCUGUCAGGAAUAUGUCCUUGAGACUGUAAGAUAAUAUAGGUAGGAGUAAUAAAUGCUUACUGAAAAGGCAGGCAUAUCCUUCAGAUACACCAAGUGAUUGAGAACUUCAUUUAUAGUUCAACUUUUUAUGCUUAGGUUGAGGGUCUGAAAAUGGUGGUUUUUAUCGUUAUAUAUCAAAUCUUAGCCUUCGGUUACUGUUUUAUAAUUUUGCCAAAGUAGUUUUAAUAAGAAUGAGGGGUGGAUUUUGAUUGAUGAAGAUUUGAAUAAGAGAAAUGUAGUAGGGGGACGAGUGGUAUCCUGAUUUUGGUAUGUUGGAACUUAAAGAUACUUAUUUAGUGAUUCUGAAAUACUAUAGGCAAUUUUGGAAGCACUAUAACAUUUUUAGUGCUGCUCCAAAUGUUAACAUUGUCAAUCUAAUUAGCAGACAGUACUGAGACCCUUUAUGUUCAUGGAAUCUUAUACAAAGUUUGAGACCUGUUGUUUUCUGGCAGUGUUUCUGGUUCCCUUUUCACUUGAAUUAACAUUGCUGUUAGAUGUUUAGAAGGUUACAAUAUCAUGUAGUUUUCCGCUUUCAGAUAAAAUCACAUAUAUACUUGGUCUUGUAGACCGUUUAUUGAUAUUUCAUCUAUAGUUGACAUGUGAGCUGGAAUUAGUUUUAGUCGGAAUGGAUGAUUGGGAAUAGUUGUUGAUGAAAGAGUAUAUAAGAGAAUAUUUGCUUACAAAUAAACAGGUCCUUAGCAUUGAGCUUUGAUAACAUGACAGACU
This is an RNA transcript of Erigeron canadensis, 7252 nucleotides long. It is a transcript of the gene named trithorax group protein osa-like, with no coding region annotated. The record is from RefSeq and is a predicted model, not a curated record. Lineage: Eukaryota; Viridiplantae; Streptophyta; Magnoliopsida; Asterales; Asteraceae. The transcript has 7 exons.